CCUACGGGAGGCAGCAGUGGGGAAUAUUGCACAAUGGGCGCAAGCCUGAUGCAGCGACGCCGCGUGAGGGAUGACGGCCUUCGGGUUGUAAACCUCUUUCAGUAGGGAAGAAGCGAAAGUGACGGUACCCGCAGAAGAAGCCCCGGCUAACUUCGUGCCAGCAGCCGCGGUAAU
RNAcentral lists this ribosomal RNA (174 nucleotides) under uncultured bacterium. Its description in RNAcentral is "partial 16S ribosomal RNA". It matches the Rfam family "Bacterial small subunit ribosomal RNA", at positions 338 to 524 of the family's 1533-position model. The record is from RNAcentral.